AGUUCCUCGGCGCUUCAUUGGAGGACCCCCCGCGAGGCUUUGGCGCCGACUGCCCCGCUGGACGGCGGGUAGCAGCCGCAGGCCCGGGAGCCAGGGCUGGGAGGGCGCGUCUGGGAGGGCGCGUCCCCAAACUUUCUCCCAGUAUUUAUUUACGCAGAGCAGCGAGCCACGCGCACAGCCCUUCAUGCAAGUCCAAGUCCGGAUGGAUGGACAAGGAGGCAGCUGCCCACACAGGGGACCUCAAGGAGCACAAUCUGGAAAGAGCCGAAGCAGGACGUGGCAUUCCUAUGGCCCUUACCAUCCUGAACGUCAAGCCAGCAUCUGCCACAUGCUGCCUUCUACAGGUCAUGGGCUCUGUUCGUCAGCUUCUCACAGUGUCCCCGGGCCGGGGGCCUGUGGACACCAGGCACUGCAGGCCAUGGCUUAGCCCUCCGUGCACCCUCAGGACACCCAACUCAGCAGAAUUGCUGCUGUUUAAAAGAGGCCGGGAGCUGGAUUUGCUGAGUUCCAAUGGCCUCCGGGGCAUCUGGUUGCUGAAGUCAGAAGAGGUUUGCCUUUCUGGUCUCAGAGACCUAAGGGAUCAAGGCUCAGCUUCAGGCAAGAUCAUCUCAUGCUUGAUUGCCAGAAUUCCUGGGCCCCAAUAUGGAUACGAUUUCAGGGCUUCUUUCCACCGCAGGCCUGAUCAGCAAAUGCUCCCAGCUGAGUGUUCAGGAACCUUCACCACAUUAACAAAGCCCAUGAUAGGUUGGCUUGUACACAUUGGGCCUCAAAUAUUUUUGCUGCAUAAACGAUCAAGUCAUUCAGGCAAACAGUAACCUCCAGGUCAGUUUCAAGGGCACCAAAAAGGCUUCUUCCCCAACGUUUCACCUACCUGUCCUCCCCACAGUCCUUAGAGAGUCUGGUCUGGGGCAGGUGCCUGUUAACAUGCAAAUGUGUCUGAAGAUAAUACGGAAACUAUAGUCUCUGUGGUCUCCCAGCUCAAAUUAGUUUCUUAUCUCCCUUUCCCUGCGGUGGGAGGGGCGUGGGAGGGGCUGUCAGGGAAUCGAGGGAGGGCGCAGAGGCGCUGUCUGCCCAGGUUAGUGUGGGAGGUGCCCUGGAGAAACUUCAUUGACAUCCAGCUUUUCCCAAACAGGGGAACCAGUUCCUGGUGAUUAAGACAUUGGGGCCUGAGGGAUGUCCUGAGAGAGCAGAAGGUCACAGAGCACAGAGAAAAGAGCAAGGUGAGGACAUCCAAGGGACUGUCUGUGGUCUGGAGGUAAGCCCGGAUCAGACCAGACUGGAGCUCCAGGCUCAGGGCUCUCUUCCCUGUGCUAUGGGUCACAGUUGCACACAGGCCGGGGCCACUGUUUCCAGAUUUACUGAGUGUCUACUGUGGUGCCGGGGACAAAGCUGGAUACUGGCGACACACAGUGGGGAGCUGACAGCUGAAUGGGGAGGACACCCAGCCAUUAGAUGGCUAUGAAGUCACGUACUUAUGACUAUGAGUUAUAUUAGGAAGAUAUGUGGGGUCUGGGAAGGGAAGGAACAAUCUGAAGGCCCCCACUGAGUGGAGGGAUCAGGGAUGCCUCUGGGCAGAGGACGGAAGUAGAGAUCUCCUGUCAGGAUGGGGUCAGGGAGUGCUGGGGGCAGAGUGAGCAGGGCAAGGAGCUCAGGGGCUGGGGCCUGCCCUCUACUGGGUUAA
Neofelis nebulosa (Clouded leopard) is the source of this 1681-nucleotide long non-coding RNA. RefSeq lists it as uncharacterized. The transcript is spliced from 3 exons. The record is from RefSeq and is a predicted model, not a curated record. Lineage: Eukaryota; Metazoa; Chordata; Mammalia; Carnivora; Felidae.